This 291-nucleotide ribosomal RNA is filed under the name Esox lucius (northern pike). RNAcentral's name for it is "partial 28S ribosomal RNA". The record is from RNAcentral. Lineage: Eukaryota; Metazoa; Chordata; Actinopteri; Esociformes; Esocidae.
AGAGCAGUUGCUCCGUGCCCUCCCCGCGCCACCGCCACUAGGUUCGCCGGGAAGCCCGCCUCGUGGGCUCUCGUGCGUGGCCCCGCAAGGGUGCUGCGUGCGGGGGUCCGUCGGGGCGGUGUCCGACCGGCGUNCUGAAGGGCGGACCGGCGCGGGGUCGGGGUGCGGUCGGCGGCGGCGAUUCUGGACGUGCGCCGGGCCCUUCCCGUGAAUCUCCUAAGCUACGGCGCUCGUCGGUCCCGUUAGCGCGGGCCCGCGGGUGCCUCGUCCGGCGUCUAGCAGCCGACUUAG